GGGCGAAGUUGAGACGCUUCCGGAGCCCGUGGAGCUUCAGAAACCGUCCACCAUGGCCACCGCCGGCAUCGCUACUUCACGCCCUUUGACUCUGUUGCUAUUUUUAAUCAUCAACUUACUUUCCAACACCAUCACCGGCGGCGGCGGCGGCGGAGGAAGAGUUUAUGCUGAUAACGGUGUGUUCAGCGUCAGAUACAAGUAUGCUGGACGGGAACGUUGUCUUAGUACCCUUAAGGCGCACGACAUCAGCCGUCAGCUUCGAUUUCUUGCCGGCGUCGAUAUCCCUCUCGGUGGCUCUGGC
RNAcentral lists this unclassified non-coding RNA (301 nucleotides) under Hevea brasiliensis (rubber tree). Lineage: Eukaryota; Viridiplantae; Streptophyta; Magnoliopsida; Malpighiales; Euphorbiaceae. The record is from RNAcentral.